Molecule: ribosomal RNA, 397 nt
Filed under: uncultured bacterium
Lineage: Bacteria
Description: partial 16S ribosomal RNA
Rfam family: Bacterial small subunit ribosomal RNA
Source: RNAcentral
AUACGUAGGGGGCGAGCGUUGUCCGGAAUGAUUGGGCGUAAAGGGCGCGUAGGCGGCCCGGUAAGUCUGGAGUGAAAGUCCUGUUUUUAAGAUGGGAAUUGCUUUGGAUACUGUCGGGCUAGAGUGCAGGAGAGGUAAGUGGAAUUCCCAGUGUAGCGGUGAAAUGCGUAGAGAUUGGGAGGAACACCAGUGGCGAAGGCGACUUACUGGACUGUAACUGACGCUGAGGCGCGAAAGUGUGGGGAGCAAACAGGAUUAGAUACCCUGGUAGUCCACACUGUAAACGAUGAAUGCUAGGUGUAGGGGGUAUCGACCCCUUCUGUGCCGCAGUCAACACAAUAAGCAUUCCGCCUGGGGAGUACGGCCGCAAGGUUGAAACUUAAAGGAAUUGACGGGG